RNAcentral lists this ribosomal RNA (254 nucleotides) under uncultured bacterium. RNAcentral describes it as "partial 16S ribosomal RNA". It matches the Rfam family "Bacterial small subunit ribosomal RNA", at positions 526 to 779 of the family's 1533-position model. The record is from RNAcentral.
CGGAGGAUACGAGCGUUAUCCGGAUUUAUUGGGUUUAAAGGGUGCGCAGGUGGUCUUGCAAGUCAGUGGUGAAAGCUGAGGCUCAACCUCAGCCUUGCCGUUGAAACUGUAAGACUUGAGAGUACAUGAUGUGGGCGGAAUGCGUAGUGUAGCGGUGAAAUGCAUAGAUAUUACGCAGAACUCCGAUUGCGAAGGCAGCUCACAAAGGUAUGUCUGACACUGAGGCACGAAAGCGUGGGGAGCGAAACAGGAUU